AUGCAAGUCGAACGGGUCUAGACUGGGUAGCAAUAUCCGGUCAAAGACUAGUGGCGGACGGGUGAGUAACACGUAGGGAACCAACCCCUUGGAUUGGGAUACUCCCGAGAAAUCGGGCACAAUACCGGAUAUAAUCCCAAGGUGAAAUGCCAUGGGAUGAAAGCUCCGAGCAAUCGGAGCGCCUUGGGCUGGACCUGCGGCCUAUCAGCUAGUUGGUGAGGUAAUGGCUCACCAAGGCAAAGACGGGUAGCCGGACUGAGAGGUUGAUCGGCCACACUGGAACUGAGAUACGGUCCAGACUCCUACGGGAGGCAGCGGUGAGGAAUUUUGCGCAAUGGGCGAAAGCCUGACGCAGCGACACCGCGUGGGGGAAGAAGGCUCUCGAGUUGUAAACUCCUUUCGUGAGGAAAAAAGUCCCGAGCAAUCGGGGUGAUGGUACCUCAGGAAGAAGCCACGGCUAACUCUGUGCCAGCAGCCGCGGUAAGACAGAGGUGGCAAGCGUUGUUCGGAUUUACUGGGCUUAAAGGGCGUGUAGGCGUCCUGAUAAGUCAGAUGUGGAAGCCUUGAGCUUAACUCAAGAAUUGCAUUUGAAACUAUUAGGAUUGAGUCAGGCAGGGGAGGGCGGAAUUCCUGGUGGAGCGGUGAAAUGCGUAGAUAUCAGGAGGAAGGCCCGUGGCGAAAGCGGCCCUCUAGGCCAUGACUGACGCUGAGGCGCGAAAGCGUGGGUAGCAAACAGGAUUAGAUACCCUGGUAGUCCACGCCCUAAACGGUGGGUA
This 776-nucleotide ribosomal RNA is filed under the name uncultured bacterium. RNAcentral describes it as "bacterial SSU rRNA". It matches the Rfam family "Bacterial small subunit ribosomal RNA", at positions 55 to 815 of the family's 1533-position model. The record is from RNAcentral.